UAACUGGAGGAGUAGCCGCUGGCAACGGGGAUUAAUACUGCGUAAUACCUAAAUACCUGGAUGGUAUUAAGUGUCAACUCUACGGAGGUUACAGAUGGGCAUGCUGUGCCAUUAGCUAGAUGUGUAAUGUAACGGCUUACCAUGUCAAUGAUGUGCUAGGGGUUCUGCAAUGAAGGACCCCCACAUUGGUACUGAGACACGGACCAGAGUCGUACGGUAGGCAGCAGUGAGGAAUAUUGGUCAAUGGAGUGCAACUCUGAUACAACCAAGGCGCGUGACGGAAGACUGUCCUAUGGAUUGUUAACUUCUUUUGUGGCGGAAUAAACUACCGUACUUGUACGGUAUUGCAUGUAUGCCAUGAAUAAGCAUCGGCUAACUCCGUGCCAGCAGCCUGUGUAAUACGGAGGAUGCAGGCGUUAUCCGGAUUUAUUAGGUUUAAAGGGUGUUCAGGCUGCCUGGUAAGUCAGGGCGUGAAAGUCGGUUGCUCAAACGAUCGAAUUGCCUUUGAAACUGUCAGGCUCGAGUAUGGAUGCGGUAGGCGGAAUGU
RNAcentral lists this ribosomal RNA (547 nucleotides) under uncultured organism. RNAcentral's name for it is "bacterial SSU rRNA". It matches the Rfam family "Bacterial small subunit ribosomal RNA", at positions 133 to 669 of the family's 1533-position model. The record is from RNAcentral.